This 593-nucleotide unclassified non-coding RNA is filed under the name Hevea brasiliensis (rubber tree). Lineage: Eukaryota; Viridiplantae; Streptophyta; Magnoliopsida; Malpighiales; Euphorbiaceae. The record is from RNAcentral.
UGCUUAUACUUAGAGGGAAGAUCCAACUUCAUAUGUUGUUUGGAGUAGCAAGUAGCCACUUACAAUACUCAUAUUUUGUGCAAGGCAUGAGAAUACUCUUCGUCUGAGUUUGAAUGUGCUGCUUAGUAUUGUUUUUGUCUAGAUUUCCUUAUUAUGAAAAUUUACACAACUUUCCUUUAAUAGCCUUUGGCAAAUGUUGCCUGCAGGUUAAUUAGCAUUUAGUUUAGAGAAGCAGAAUGGCUGCUGGUAGAAUUGCUCAUGCCACCUUGAAAGGGCCAAGUGUUGUCAAGGAGAUCUGUAUGGGUAUUGCACUUGGCUUGGCUGCUGGUGGUCUUUGGAAGAUGCAUCACUGGAAUGAGCAGAGGAAGGCGAGAGCGUUCUAUGACUUGCUAGAAAAAGGCGAAAUAAGUGUUGUUGCAGAAGAAUAGAUUCUUUUAUGCAUCUAUGAUGAUGUUAAGUAUCCCGAUCUUUGAUGUCACCUUGUUUGGCUAUUAAGUUGAGCAUACUCAGUUUGAACAUUUGAAGAAUAAAUAUUUUGUUUUAAGAUGUGGAGCACAUAUUUGUUUUAACAAAUAAAUGAAGUUUGAUUAUUC